Molecule: long non-coding RNA, 472 nt
Filed under: Homo sapiens (human)
Lineage: Eukaryota; Metazoa; Chordata; Mammalia; Primates; Hominidae
Description: non-protein coding lnc-OR7A10-1:2
Source: RNAcentral
CAUCUGUCACCCCCUGCACUACAUGGUCAUUAUGAACCCUCACCUCUGUGGACUGCUGGUUCUAGCAUCCUGGACCAUGAGUGCUCUGUAUUCCUUGCUACAAAUCUUAAUGGUAGUACGGCUGUCCUUCUGCACAGCCUUAGAAAUCCCCCACUUUUUCUGUGAACUUAAUCAGGUCAUCCAACUUGCUUGUUCUGAUAGCUUUCUUAAUCACAUGGUGAUAUAUUUUACAGUUGCGCUGCUGGGUGGAGGUCCCCUGACUGGGAUCCUUUACUCUUACUCUAAGAUAAUUUCUUCCAUACAUGCAAUCUCAUCAGCUCAGGGGAAGUACAAGGCAUUUUCCACCUGUGCAUCUCACCUCUCAGUUGUCUCCUUAUUUUAUGGUGCAAUCCUAGGGGUGUACCUUAGUUCUGCUGCCACCCGCAACUCACACUCAAGUGCAACAGCCUCAGUGAUGUACACUGUGGUCACC